Molecule: ribosomal RNA, 375 nt
Filed under: uncultured bacterium
Lineage: Bacteria
Description: partial 16S ribosomal RNA
Rfam family: Bacterial small subunit ribosomal RNA
Source: RNAcentral
UGGGGAAUUUUGGACGAAUUGGGCGAAAGCCUGAUCCAGCAAUGCCGCGUGUGUGAAGAAGGCCUUCGGGUUGUAAAGCACUUUUGUCCGGGAAAGAAAAUCCUUGGCUCUAAUACAGUCGGGGGAUGACGGUACCGGAAGAAUAAGCACCGGCUAACUACGUGCCAGCAGCCGCGGUAAUACGUAGGGGUGCAAGCGUUAAUCGGAAUUACUGGGCGUAAAGCGUGCGCAGGCGGUUUGCUAAGACCGAUGUGAAAUCCCCGGGCUCAACCUGGGAACUGCAUUGGUGACUGGCAGGCUAGAGUAUGGCAGAGGGGGGUAGAAUUCCACGUNUAGCAGUGAAAUGCGUAGAGAUGUGGAGGAAUACCGAUGGCG